Molecule: long non-coding RNA, 365 nt
Filed under: Ananas comosus (pineapple)
Lineage: Eukaryota; Viridiplantae; Streptophyta; Magnoliopsida; Poales; Bromeliaceae
Description: long non-coding RNA (ACOM_LNC029162)
Source: RNAcentral
CUUUCUUUGAUUGAAAUUGAAAUUUUGACUGCAAUGAAAAUAUACACAAAAUUAAAAAAUAUAUAUAUAAUAAGAUGGUUAUAUAAACAUAUGUAAACAGUGUAAAAUGUGUCAAAUACCAUGGCAAAAGACAAAGCUUCAUUUUUUAGUGAAUUGGCAUUCGUCUCCAAUUAAUAUAGUUUAGAGGGCAGAAUUGACCAUUUCGUGCAACUAUUCUGCAAAAACCAACGAGCAACCUUGCCUCCUUAUUUAUGGGUUUCCCUCUUUUGUUAAAUCGAACUUGAAUACGCCAAUUCUCAUCCAUUUCCCAUAUCUCCUUUAAUGUUGUACGACCUCUCUUUCUUUCUCUUUUUCCAUCGUCAUGA